AGAAUCAACGCUGGCGGCGUGCCUAACACAUGCAAGUCGCACGAGAAAGGGGAGCAAUCCCUGAGUAAAGUGGCGCACGGGUGAGUAACACGUGAAUCAUCUACCUCCGAGUGGGGAAUAACUGAGAGAAAUCUUAGCUAAUACCGCAUAAAACUUACGAGUCAAAGCAGCAAUGCGCUUGGAGAGGAGUUCGCGGCAGAUUAGUUAGUUGGCGGGGUAAUGGCCCACCAAGACGAUGAUCUGUAUCCGGCCUGAGAGGGCGCACGGACACACUGGAACUGAAACACGGUCCAGACUCCUACGGGAGGCAGCAGUGGGGAAUUUUGCGCAAUGGGGGAAACCCUGACGCAGCAACGCCGCGUGGAGGAUGAAAUCCCUUGGGAUGUAAACUCCUUUCGAUAGGGAAGAUAAUGACGGUACCUAUAGAAGAAGCCCGGCUAACUUCGUGCCAGCAGCCGC
This 459-nucleotide ribosomal RNA is filed under the name uncultured bacterium. RNAcentral describes it as "SSU rRNA". It matches the Rfam family "Bacterial small subunit ribosomal RNA", at positions 26 to 518 of the family's 1533-position model. The record is from RNAcentral.